This 482-nucleotide ribosomal RNA is filed under the name uncultured bacterium. RNAcentral's name for it is "partial 16S ribosomal RNA". It matches the Rfam family "Bacterial small subunit ribosomal RNA", at positions 28 to 523 of the family's 1533-position model. The record is from RNAcentral.
GACGAACGCUGGAGGCGUGCUUAACACAUGCAAGUCGAACGAUGAAAUGGAGCUUGCUCCAUGGAUUAGUGGCGAACGGGUGAGUAACACGUGAAUAACCUGCCCUUAAUUUUGGAAUAACCCAGGGAAACCUGGGCUAAUACCGGAUAAGUAAACCUGUGGCAUCACAUGGUUUUGGAAAGUUUUUCGAUUAAGGAUGGAUUCGCGGCCUAUCAGCUUGUUGGUGAGGUAAUGGCUCACCAAGGCGACGACGGGUAGCCGGCCUGAGAGGGUGAACGGCCAGACAGGGACUGAGACACGGCCCAGACUCCGACGGGAGGCAGCAGUGGGGAAUAUUGCGCAAGGGACGAAAGUCUGACGCAGCGACGCCUCGUGAGGGACGAAGGUCUUCGGAUUGUAAACCUCUUUCAGCAGGGACGAAGCGAAAGUGACGGUACCUGCAGAAGAAGCACCGGCUAACUAUGUGCCAGCCGCCGCCGUAA